RNAcentral lists this small nuclear RNA (326 nucleotides) under Urocitellus parryii (Arctic ground squirrel). RNAcentral describes it as "7SK RNA (ENSUPAG00010000629.1)". The stretch from base 1 to 272 matches the Rfam family "7SK RNA". Rfam says of the family: 7SK was discovered as an abundant small nuclear RNA in the mid-70s but a possible function has only recently been suggested. Two independent studies have found that 7SK RNA binds the CDK9/cyclin T complex (known as elongation factor P-TEFb). P-TEFb activates transcription by phosphorylating the C-terminal domain of RNA polymerase II. Lineage: Eukaryota; Metazoa; Chordata; Mammalia; Rodentia; Sciuridae. The record is from RNAcentral.
GGAUGUGAGGGCGAUCUGGCUGCGACAUCUGUCACCCCAAUUAUCUGGCUGGCUAGGCGGGUGUCCCCUUCCUCCCUCACAGCUCCAUGUGCGUCCCUCCUGAAGCUGCGCGCUCRGUCGAAGAGGAUGACCUUCCCCGAUAGAGGAGGACCUUUCUUCGGUCAAGGGUAUACGAGUACCUGCGCUCCCCUGCUAGAACCUCCAAACAAGCUCUCAAGAAAAUACAUGYCCCAAACUUUUGUCAACAUUAAAAUGCAAAUGCUGGGUUCAUUCAAUUAGCAUACACAAUAUUAUAAACCUCAGGUUACAAUUGAAUUAAAUAUUGA